GACGAACGCUGGCGGCGUGCUUAACACAUGCAAGUCGAACGGAAAGGCCCUGCUUUUGUGGGGUGCUCGAGUGGCGAACGGGUGAGUAACACGUGAGUAACCUGCCCUUGACUUUGGGAUAACUUCAGGAAACUGGGGCUAAUACCGGAUAGGAGCUCCUGCUGCAUGGUGGGGGUUGGAAAGUUUCGGCGGUUGGGGAUGGACUCGCGGCUUAUCAGCUUGUUGGUGGGGUAGUGGCUUACCAAGGCUUUGACGGGUAGCCGGCCUGAGAGGGUGACCGGACACAUUGAGACAGAGAUACGGCAGAGACUUACGGGAGGGACAGGAGUGGAAAAUAUUACAAAAGGGGGGGAAGUGAGAUACAGCAACGGCGCGUGGGAGAUGGGGGCCCGGGGGUUGAAAACCGCUUGCGUCUGACGAAGCGUGAGUGACGGUAAUGGGUAAAGAAGCACCGGCUAACUACGUG
RNAcentral lists this ribosomal RNA (466 nucleotides) under uncultured bacterium. Its description in RNAcentral is "partial 16S ribosomal RNA". It matches the Rfam family "Bacterial small subunit ribosomal RNA", at positions 28 to 507 of the family's 1533-position model. The record is from RNAcentral.